CACAAAUCAAUGAAUGUGUUUGUAGAUAGAUGUUUUUGUGUUCUGUUAAAUUGUUAUACGAUGAUGACUGAUAUACCCAUAUUUUGACUAUUUUAUCUAUUGUGUCUGUUCAAAGUUUACGCAUCAAUGGAAAUAUAACGGAAUUAGAUGAGACUGUCAUCAAAGUGAGAGGGUUAGCGCUAUAAAACCAGGUUUAAUCCACCAUUUUCUACAUUUGAAAAUGCAUGUACCAAGUCAGGAAUAUGACAGUUCUUGUCCAUUCGUUUUUGAUGCGUUUUG
This 279-nucleotide long non-coding RNA is filed under the name Mytilus galloprovincialis (Mediterranean mussel). The record is from RNAcentral. Lineage: Eukaryota; Metazoa; Mollusca; Bivalvia; Mytilida; Mytilidae.